UCUCCGUUGGUGAACCAGCGGAGGGAUCAUUACUGAGUUUACAACUCCCAAACCCACUGUGAACAUACCUAUAGUUGCUUCGGCGGGACCGCCCCGGCGCGCCCUCUAGGGGGCUUGCCCGGAACCAGGCGCCCGCCGGAGACCCCAAACUCUUGUUUUUUUUUCCCGCACCCUGCGGCAGUAGAUUCUCUGAGUGGCAAACGCAAAAUAAAUUAAAACUUUCAACAACGGAUCUCUUGGCUCUG
RNAcentral lists this unclassified non-coding RNA (245 nucleotides) under soil metagenome. Its description in RNAcentral is "partial contains small subunit ribosomal RNA, internal transcribed spacer 1, and 5.8S ribosomal RNA". The record is from RNAcentral.